UACGGAGGAUGCGAGCGUUAUCCGGAUUUAUUGGGUUUAAAGGGUGCGUAGGCGGACUGUCAAGUCAGCGGUAAAAUUGAGAGGCUCAACCUCUUCCCGCCGUUGAAACUGGUGGUCUUGAGUGGAUGAGAAAUACGCGGAAUGCGUGGUGUAGCGGUGAAAUGCAUAGAUAUCACGCUGAACUCCGAUUGCGAAGGCAGCGUACCGGCAUCCAACUGACGCUGAGGCACGAAAGCGUGGGGAUCAAACAGG
RNAcentral lists this ribosomal RNA (252 nucleotides) under uncultured bacterium. RNAcentral describes it as "partial 16S ribosomal RNA". It matches the Rfam family "Bacterial small subunit ribosomal RNA", at positions 524 to 776 of the family's 1533-position model. The record is from RNAcentral.